This 377-nucleotide ribosomal RNA is filed under the name uncultured eukaryote. RNAcentral's name for it is "partial 18S ribosomal RNA". It matches the Rfam family "Eukaryotic small subunit ribosomal RNA", at positions 592 to 976 of the family's 1831-position model. The record is from RNAcentral.
CAGUAGCGUAUAUUAAAGUUGUUGCAGUUAAAAAGCUCGUAGUUGGAUUUCGGGGUGGCCUGCCUGGUCCACCGCAAGGUGAGUACUGGUCAGCCGCCCUUCCUCUCGAAAGCCCCGACUGCUCUUCAUUGCAGUGGUCGGGUAGUUCGGGACGUUUACUUUGAAAAAAUUAGAGUGUUCAAGGCAGGCCGUCGCCUGAAUACAUUAGCAUGGAAUAAUGGAAGAGGACCUCGGUCCUAUUUUGUUGGUUUCUAGGGCCGAAGUAAUGAUUAAGAGGGACAGUUGGGGGCAUUCGUAUUUAAUUGUCAGAGGUGAAAUUCUUGGAUUUAUGAAAGACGAACUAGUGCGAAAGCAUUUGCCAAGGAUGUUUUCAUUAA